RNAcentral lists this ribosomal RNA (253 nucleotides) under uncultured bacterium. Its description in RNAcentral is "partial 16S ribosomal RNA". It matches the Rfam family "Bacterial small subunit ribosomal RNA", at positions 524 to 776 of the family's 1533-position model. The record is from RNAcentral.
UACGUAGGUGGCAAGCGUUAUCCGGAAUUAUUGGGCGUAAAGAGCGCGCAGGUGGUUGAGAAAGUCUGAUGUGAAAGCCCACGGCUUAACCGUGGAGGGUCAUUGGAAACUGUUCAACUGGAGUGCAGAAGAGGGAAGUGGAAUUCCAUGUGUAGCGGUGAAAUGCGUAGAGAUAUGGAGGAACACCAGUGGCGAAGGCGGCUUCCUGGUCUGUAACUGACACUGAGGCGCGAAAGCGUGGGGAGCAAACAGG